Molecule: ribosomal RNA, 585 nt
Filed under: Hepatozoon sp. CS-2012
Lineage: Eukaryota; Apicomplexa; Hepatozoidae
Also listed under: 1 other name
Description: partial 18S ribosomal RNA
Rfam family: Eukaryotic small subunit ribosomal RNA
Source: RNAcentral
GUAUGGUAUUGGCUUACCGUGGCAGUGACGGUUAACGGGGGAUUAGGGUUCGAUUCCGGAGAGGGAGCCUGAGAAACGGCUACCACAUCUAAGGAAGGCAGCAGGCGCGCAAAUUACCCAAUUCUAACAGCAUAAGAGAGGUAGUGACAAGAAAUAACAGUACAAGGCAGUUAAAAUGCUUUGUAAUUGGAAUGAUAGAAAUUUAAAUACUUUUUAAAGUAUCAAUUGGAGGGCAAGUCUGGUGCCAGCAGCCGCGGUAAUUCCAGCUCCAAUAGCGUAUAUUAAAAUUGUUGCAGUUAAAAAGCUCGUAGUUGAAUUUUUGCUAAAAAUAACCGGUCUGCUUUUAUUAAUAAAAGUGGUAUCUUGGUGUGUUUUUAGCAAUAAUGUCCUUUGAAAUGUUUUUUACUUUAUUGUAAAAAACAAAUUUCAGGAUUUUUACUUUGAGAAAAUUAGAGUGUUUCAAGCAGGCUAACGUUUUGAAUACUGCAGCAUGGAAUAAUAAAAUAGGAUUUUAGUUCUACGUUAUUGGUUUUAAGAACUAAAUUAAUGAUUGAUAGGGGCAGUUGGGGGCAUUUGUAUUUAACU